Molecule: ribosomal RNA, 253 nt
Filed under: uncultured bacterium
Lineage: Bacteria
Description: partial 16S ribosomal RNA
Rfam family: Bacterial small subunit ribosomal RNA
Source: RNAcentral
UACGUAGGGGGCAAGCGUUGUCCGGAAUCAUUGGGCGUAAAGAGCGCGUAGGCGGCCCUGUAAGUCCGCUGUGAAAGUCAAGGGCUCAACCCUUGGAUGCCGGUGGAUACUGCAGGGCUAGAGUCCUGGAGAGGAAGGUGGAAUGCUUGGUGUAGAGGUGAAAUUCGUAGAUAUCAAGCGGAACACCGGUGGCGAAGGCGGCCUUCUGGACAGUGACUGACGCUGAGACGCGAAAGCGUGGGGAGCAAACAGG